Molecule: ribosomal RNA, 483 nt
Filed under: uncultured bacterium
Lineage: Bacteria
Description: partial 16S ribosomal RNA
Rfam family: Bacterial small subunit ribosomal RNA
Source: RNAcentral
GAUGAACGCUGGCGGCGUGCCUAACACAUGCAAGUCGAACGGAGCCGUCUUGGAAAUCUCUUCGGAGAUGGAAUUCUCGACUUAGUGGCGGCCGGGUGAGUAACUCGUGAGCAAUCUGCCUUUAUGAGGGGGAUAACAGUCGGAAACGGCUGCUAAUACCGCAUAAAGCAUUACAUUCGCAUGUUUUUGAUGCCAAAGGAGCAAUCCGCUUUUAGAGGAGCUCGCGUCUGAUUAGCUAGUUGGCGGGGUAACGACCCACCAAGACGACGAUCAGUAGCCGCUCGGAGGGGAGGAGCAGCCGCAACGGGGCUGAGACGCGACCCAGACGCCUACGGGAGGAAGCAGUGGGGAGUAUUACGGAAUGGGGGACGCACUGACGCAGCAGCGCCGCGUGGUUGGAGAAGGACGUCGGGUUGUAAUAAAGUUUAAUCAGGGACGAAACAAAUGACGGUACCUGAAGAAUAAGCGCCGGCUAACUACGUG